AUAGUACUCCCUCCGUCUGGAAAUACUUGUCCUAAAAGUAGAUGUAUCUAGACUUAUUUUAGUUAUAAAUACAUCUAUUUUAUACAUUUUUAGGACAAGUAUUUUCGAACGAGGGAGUAGUAG
RNAcentral lists this microRNA precursor (123 nucleotides) under Hordeum vulgare. RNAcentral describes it as "microRNA MIR1122". It matches the Rfam family "MIR1120/MIR1122 microRNA precursor family". Lineage: Eukaryota; Viridiplantae; Streptophyta; Magnoliopsida; Poales; Poaceae. The record is from RNAcentral.